CCUACGGGAGGCAGCAGCAGGGAAUAUUGCACAAUGGGCGAAAGCCUGAUGCAGCGACGCCGCGUGCGGGAUGAAGGCCUUCGGGUUGUAAACCGCUUUCAGCAGGGACGAAAAUGACGGUACCUGCAGAAGAAGCCCCGGCCAACUACGUGCCAGCAGCCGCGGUAACACGUAGGGGGCGAGCGUUGUCCGGAUUUAUUGGGCGUAAAGGGCUCGUAGGUGGCUUGACAAGUCGGUCGUGAAAACCCGGGGCUCAACCCCGGGACGCCGGUCGAAACUGUCAUGGCUAGGGUCCGGUAGAGGUGAGUGGAAUUCUCGGUGUAGCGGCGAAAUGCGCAGAUAUCGAGAGGAACACCAGUAGCGAAGGCGGCUCACUGGGCCGGUACCGACACUGAGGAGCGAAAGCGUGGGGAGCAAACAGGAUUAGAUACCCUGGUAGUCCACGCCGUAAACGUUGAACACUAGGUGUGGCGGACUUAUCCACGUCUGCCGUGCCGCAGCUAACGCAUUAAGUAUUCCGCCUGGGGAGUACGGCCGCAAGGCUAAAACUCAAAUGAAUUGGACGG
Molecule: ribosomal RNA, 566 nt
Filed under: uncultured Actinomycetes bacterium
Lineage: Bacteria; Bacillati; Actinomycetota; Actinomycetes
Also listed under: 1 other name
Description: bacterial SSU rRNA
Rfam family: Bacterial small subunit ribosomal RNA
Source: RNAcentral